UGGAAAGAUCCUCGCCAUGGUUGUUGAGUAUUGCAAAACACACGUUAAUGAUGAUCAUGUAGAUGCAUCUGAAGAGGUGAAGAAGAAGCUCAAGGAUUGGGACGAGGAGUUCAUGAAGAAUCUCGAUCUUGAUACGAUCUUUAACCUCAUUCUCGCCGCUAACUAUCUCAACGUCACGGUUCUUCUUGAUCUUACUUGCCAGGUCGUUGCAGAUUAUAUCAAAGACAAGAAAGUAGAGGAAGUUCGAGAAAUCUUCAACGUCAAGAACGACUUCACGCCCGAAGAAGAAGAAACGAUUCGCAAGGAAAACGAGUGGGCUUAUAAUUGAAGAUCUAAAAACAAAAUACCCUAGCUGUUUUGUUUUCCAUACAUGAGUUGGUGAAUGACUUAUAUGUUUCUGUUUCUCAAGUGUGUGAUGAAACUUUUAGGUCUCUUUAAUUCUGUUUAUUAAUUCUUUACGUAGAUGAUAUCGACUAGGUCAAGUUAAACAUAAACAUGAAACCAUACCUUGUGACACAAGAUAUUCUUCGUUUCCUAAAUAAGUCUAAUCUCUUUCACAAGAGAACAUUAAUUAGUAGUAAGUGUUGGAAUAUUGAGAGGAAGAAUAAAGACAGAGUAAGAGACCUUUUGUCUCUUCUAUUGUGAGGAAAAGAAUGAAACUGAAAUUUGUAUUGAACUGGAACUUGUUGUCUUGUGUUACAAAACACAUACGCUUAUAUACAUGUGUUACAGUCACGACUGCUCACACAAACAAUUGAAACAACACAACUAUCUUCCGUAUACAUCCGUUAAUAUACACCUAUUCAUACACACCUCUUCAUGUAAGUAUAGACACAUUAAUUUAUCUAAUUAGAUAAAAUAAUAAGACCAAACUUAAUUAUAAACCAACAUAAGACGAUGGUUGCCUUUCUGGUCGGAGAAAUUAUAUAUAAGGAGACUUACAAUCGUUCUCUCUGUAAUUUUCCAACAUCGUAUCACUGAAGCUCAUAGGCGACGACCAAAUUUCAAGUUAAUGAUAUUUACUUUGGUUUCUAUUCAUUAGGUUGUAACGGACCAGCAAUGAUCAAACCAUAAUUAAUGAGGCUCAAUUGCAAGAUCUCUUAAUUAACCAGCCUUAUGAUGUACGUUUUCUAACCCAACCAAACCCCAAGAGUAGCCACAGUGAAAUAUACUGUAUAUUUAUGGCUCGUUAAUUAGGUUAGUAAGACCUCAGAAGUUAUAAACGUAAGUUAUAAUAAAAGAAGAGUCUAGUACAAUAUCUACAAAAUUUUGAGAAUUAUUUGUAAAUUAAAUUAGAGAAGACUCAUGGGGUAUGUUGUUAAAUACUGUUUUCACAAGUGUUGAAAAUCCAAAAUAUUAGAGAAUUAAGUAAUGAUGACUCAGAAGUCAGAACCUUAAGUUAUUAUGUUUUUUUAAACGAAAAAGGUAUAAUAUUAUAAAGUUGAUUAUUUAAAAAUGAUAAAAAAUAUAAAAACUUACUAUAAAAUUUACAUUAAUUUUAUAGGUAAUACCAAAAAAUAAAAGUUGCAUUGUAGUUUGAAUCUAAUCCUGUAUUUUAAUGUAGUUACUCUUUUUAAUAUAAGAAUAGUUAAUAUUUAUGAAUUACAGAAUACUAAAAUAGUAUAAUAUCUAAAAAUUUAAGAAAUAUAUAUUAUUAUAUUAGUAUCCAUGUAUGGGGUCAACCAUUCUUAAAAGGUUAGAACCUAUUUAAUUAAAAUAGGAUUAUGUUCUUUAUUUAUUUUAUUUACCUUCCUUUGGGGAAAUACAUCUAUAGGCUAACUUUACAUACUCACACAGUCACUAUUGUUAUAAAUAGAGACAUCACAUCAAUUGGUUAACUCCAUUCAACACCUCUCAUUCAGUUUCUUAGAUAAAAUCUCCUAAAAAUCUUCUUCCUACAGUUUAACCACAAAACAAACAAUAUGUCUUCGAACAAGAUUGUGUUGACAAGCUCUGAUGGCGAGUCUUUCGAAGUUGAGGAAGUGGUGGCGAGAAAAUUGAAGAUCGUAGGGCCAAUGAUCGAAAACGACUGCCCCGACAAAGCAAUCAUCCUUCAAAACCUUACAGGGAAGAUCCUCGCCCUGGUUAUCGAGUAUUGCAAAAGACAUGUCGAAGAUGAUCAUGUAGCAGCUGAGGAGGCGAAGAAGAAGCUCAAGGAUUGGGACCAGGAGUUCAUGAAGGAUCUCGCUCUUGAUACGAUCUUUAACCUCAUUCUCGCCGCUAACUAUCUCAAUGUCACCGGUCUUCUUGAUCUUACUUGCCAGGUCGUUGCAGAUUAUAUCAAAGACAAGAAAGUAGAGGAAGUUCGAGAAAUCUUCAACGUCAAGAACGACUUCACGCCCGAAG
Molecule: long non-coding RNA, 2346 nt
Filed under: Capsella rubella
Lineage: Eukaryota; Viridiplantae; Streptophyta; Magnoliopsida; Brassicales; Brassicaceae
Description: long non-coding RNA (CRUB_LNC002431)
Source: RNAcentral